This 832-nucleotide long non-coding RNA is filed under the name Homo sapiens (human). Its description in RNAcentral is "HSALNT0046453". Lineage: Eukaryota; Metazoa; Chordata; Mammalia; Primates; Hominidae. The record is from RNAcentral.
UGGAGAUUGAGAUUAGGGCAGAUUCUUACAUUUCUUUUUUUUUUCUUUUUUCCCGAAAGAAUGUAUUCUUUUUGUCAACAGGGGAGAAAAACAAUUAAAAGAACUUGAAAAAAUCUGCCCUCAUAGGGUGCACAUUCUAACAGAUGGGUAAUGGAUUUAUGUUUCUGAUUUCUCGGUGGACACAGCCAGCAGGCUGGGUGCAGUUCUGAAUCUCUGUUGGAAGACAUGGCCCCCAUCAGUUUUCAAUCUGUGACAAUCUGGGAACAGAGAACCAGAGACGGAAGUAGAACCUGAUGAUCUUUGACCCUCAAGAUCUUGCACAAUCACAGCAUUAUGCACCUGCAAAACUGGAGAUGAUAACUGUCACGAUAAUUAUGACUUGCCAGGGAGGGAGGCGUGUUAUGGAAUGUCAAAGUCGUGUCCAGGCAGAGUAGGCUGAGGAAUGAUGGCUUCAUGUCUGCCUGUCUUUCUCUACCUUUGCACCCACCAGCCUAGCUUGGGCCUCUUCACUUCAUUCCUGGGCUUCUAUCAUGGUUUCCAGGAAUCUCCUAAACUGAAGACCUCCUCUGCAACAAUCCGCUUAGCCUAGGAUGGCUAGAUUACACUCCCAACACAAAGUUUUGUGCAUGCUGCCUCUCACUCAAACACUUAAACAAAAUUCCAGAUCAUUAUCUUGGCAUCCAAAGCCCUCUCUAGUGUUGCCCCAUCUACCCUUUUAAUCUUAUCACUGAGUCACUCUCUACAUCUGUCUCCUUGGUCCCACCAAAGUGGACCUCUUUGCCCCCAACCCGCCUUGCUCAUUCCAGGCUCUGCCUCUGACAUAGUUCAAUAG